GUAGGGGGCGAGCGUUGUCCGGAUUUAUUGGGCGUAAAGAGCUCGUAGGCGGUUUCGUAAGUCGGAUGUGAAAACUCCAGGCUCAACUUGGAGACSCCAUUCGAUACUGCGAUGACUUGAGUCCGGUAGGGGAGUGUGGAAUUCCUGGUGUAGCGGUGAAAUGCGCAGAUAUCAGGAGGAACACCGGCGGCGAAGGCGGCACUCUGGGCCGGUACUGACGCUGAGGAGCGAAAGCGUGGGUAGCAAACAGGAUUAGAUACCCUGGUAGUCCACGCCGUAAACGGUGGGCACUAGGUGUGGGAUUCACUCAACGGAUUCCGUGCCGCAGCUAACGCAUUAAGUGCCCCGCCUGGGGAGUACGGCCGCAAGGCUA
This 373-nucleotide ribosomal RNA is filed under the name uncultured bacterium. Its description in RNAcentral is "bacterial SSU rRNA". It matches the Rfam family "Bacterial small subunit ribosomal RNA", at positions 527 to 896 of the family's 1533-position model. The record is from RNAcentral.